UACGGAGGGGGCUAGCGUUGUUCGGAAUUACUGGGCGUAAAGCGCACGUAGGCGGCUUUGCAAGUUAGAGGUGAAAGCCCAGGGCUUAACCCUGGAAUUGCCUUUAAAACUGCAUCGCUAGAAUCGUGGAGAGGUAAGUGGAAUUCCGAGUGUAGAGGUGAAAUUCGUAGAUAUUCGGAAGAACACCAGUGGCGAAGGCGACUUACUGGACACGUAUUGACGCUGAGGUGCGAAAGCGUGGGGAGCAAACAGG
Molecule: ribosomal RNA, 253 nt
Filed under: uncultured bacterium
Lineage: Bacteria
Also listed under: 1 other name
Description: partial 16S ribosomal RNA
Rfam family: Bacterial small subunit ribosomal RNA
Source: RNAcentral